Molecule: ribosomal RNA, 497 nt
Filed under: uncultured bacterium
Lineage: Bacteria
Description: partial 16S ribosomal RNA
Rfam family: Bacterial small subunit ribosomal RNA
Source: RNAcentral
GAUGAACGCUGGCGGCGUGCCUAAUACAUGCAAGUCGAGCGAACGGACGAGAAGCUUGCUUCUCUGAUGUUAGCGGCGGACGGGUGAGUAACACGUGGAUAACCUACCUAUAAGACUGGGAUAACUUCGGGAAACCGGAGCUAAUACCGGAUAAUAUUUUGAACCGCAUGGUUCAAAAGUGAAAGACGGUCUUGCUGUCUCUUAUAGAUGGAUCCGCGCUGCAUUAGCUAGUUGGUAAGGUAACGGCUUACCAAGGCAACGAUGCAUAGCCGACCUGAGAGGGUGAUCGGCCACACUGGAACUGAGACACGGUCCAGACUCCUACGGGAGGCAGCAGUAGGGAAUCUUCCGCAAUGGGCGAAAGCCUGACGGAGCAACGCCGCGUGAGUGAUGAAGGUCUUCGGAUCGUAAAACUCUGUUAUUAGGGAAGAACAUAUGUGUAAGUAACUGUGCACAUCUUAACGGUACCUAAUCAGAAAGCCACGGCUAACUACGUG